This 473-nucleotide ribosomal RNA is filed under the name uncultured bacterium. RNAcentral describes it as "partial 16S ribosomal RNA". It matches the Rfam family "Bacterial small subunit ribosomal RNA", at positions 28 to 507 of the family's 1533-position model. The record is from RNAcentral.
GAUAAACGCUGGCGGCGCACAUAAGACAUGCAAGUUGAACGGACUUAAUCGAAAUAUUUAUAUUUUGAAGCGGUUAGUGGCGGACUGGUGAGUAACGCGUAAGGAACCUGCCUAUUAGAGGGGAAUAACAGAGAGAAAUCAUUGCUAAUACCGCAUAUGCCAUAGAUAUGACAUGAUAACAGUGGGAAAGGAUCAAUCCGCUAAUAGAUGGCCUUGCGUCUGAUUAGAUAGUUGGUGGGGUAACGGCGUACCAAGUCGACGAUCAGUAGCCGGACUGAGAGGAUGAGGUGCCACCUCGGGAGUGAGACACCGCCCAGGAAUCUACGGGAGUGAGCGGUAGGGAAUAUUACGAAAUGCACGAAAGUCUGACGCGGCGACGCAGCGUAUAGGAAGAAGGUUUUCGGAUUGUAAACUAUUGUCGUUAGGGAAGAGAAAGGACGGUACCUAAGGAGGAAGCUCCGGCUAACUACGUG